RNAcentral lists this transfer RNA (72 nucleotides) under Candidatus Aminicenantota bacterium. Its description in RNAcentral is "Candidatus Aminicenantes bacterium tRNA-Pro". It matches the Rfam family "tRNA". Rfam says of the family: Transfer RNA (tRNA) molecules are approximately 80 nucleotides in length. Their secondary structure includes four short double-helical elements and three loops (D, anti-codon, and T loops). Further hydrogen bonds mediate the characteristic L-shaped molecular structure. tRNAs have two regions of fundamental functional importance: the anti-codon, which is responsible for specific mRNA codon recognition, and the 3' end, to which the tRNAs corresponding amino acid is attached (by aminoacyl-tRNA synthetases). tRNAs cope with the degeneracy of the genetic code in two manners: having more than one tRNA (with a specific anti-codon) for a particular amino acid; and 'wobble' base-pairing, i.e. permitting non-standard base-pairing at the 3rd anti-codon position. Lineage: Bacteria; Candidatus Aminicenantota. The record is from RNAcentral.
CGGGGAGUAAGUCAAUGGUAGACGGUUGGUUUUGGGAACCAGCAGCCGGAGGUUCGAAUCCUCUCUCCCCGA